CACUGAUGGCGACCGGCAAACGGGUGGCGGAACACGUACAGACCUUCCUUCGAGCGGGGAAUAGCCAGAGAAAUUUGGAUUAAUACCCCAUAGUAUAGCGGAGAGGCAUCUCUCUGUUAUUAAAGAUUUAUCACUUGAAGAUGGCUGUGCGGCUGAUUAGGUAGUUGGCGGGGUAACGGCCCACCAAGCCUGUGAUCAGUAACUGGUGUGAGAGCACGACCAGUCACACGGGCACUGAGACACGGGCCCGACUCCUACGGGAGGCAGCAGUAAGGAAUAUUGGUCAAUGGACGAAAGUCUGAACCAGCCAUGCCGCGUGGAGGAUGAAGGUCCUCUGGAUUGUAAACUUCUUUUAUAUGGGACGAAAAAAGGUCUUUCUAGAUCGUCUGACGGUACCAUAUGAAUAAGCACCGGCUAACUCCGUG
Molecule: ribosomal RNA, 425 nt
Filed under: uncultured bacterium
Lineage: Bacteria
Description: bacterial SSU rRNA
Rfam family: Bacterial small subunit ribosomal RNA
Source: RNAcentral